AUGGUCACUGGCAUGAUUGAUUCCGAAACCAGCUUCAAAAGCAUUGCCAGCAUAACCAUUGCAAAGUUUAACGCGGAAAUAAACUGUGGAAUCCUCGUCCUUGAGGUUGUUCAUGGACCCAAACUCGGGAACAUCCUGGCCACACCCAUGAGCUACCGCCGGCUCCUGGCCCUGCUGAUCCUGCUGCCCCUCCCAGACGUUUCGAUGGUGAUGCUGGCGGCCGUGACCCUGCUGGAGUCCGGGGGGCACCUCCAGACCCCUGGGGGGUCCCUGAACUUGCUGUGCCGCGCCUCUGGCUUCAAUUUCAAAAAAUCUGCAAUGUUCUGGAUGCGCCAGAGACCCGGGCUGCGGCUGGAGUACGUUGCGGCGAUCAACGGUGAUGAUUCCACCCCCAGAUACGCGCCAUCGGUCAAGGGCCGGUCCACGAUCUCCAGGGACAAUGGGCAGAGCUCGGUGACGCUGACCAUGAACAACCUCAAGGACGAGGAUUCCGGAUCCUAUUGCUGUGCCAAAAGCGCCUAUGAUGGUUGGGGUUGA
Melozone crissalis (California towhee) is the source of this 537-nucleotide non-coding RNA. The record is from the annotation of a RefSeq genome assembly. NCBI's taxonomy places the organism in Eukaryota, Metazoa, Chordata, Aves, Passeriformes, Passerellidae.